UACGUAGGGCGCAAGCGUUGUCCGGAAUUAUUGGGCGUAAAGGGCUCGUAGGCGGUUUGUCGCGUCGGGAGUGAAAUCAUCUGGCUUAACUGGGUGCUUGCUUUCGAUACGGGCAGACUAGAGUGAUGUAGGGGAGACUGGAAUUCCUGGUGUAGCGGUGAAAUGCGCAGAUAUCAGGAGGAACACCGAUGGCGAAGGCAGGUCUCUGGGCAUUAACUGACGCUGAGGAGCGAAAGCAUGGGGAGCGAACAGG
Molecule: ribosomal RNA, 253 nt
Filed under: uncultured bacterium
Lineage: Bacteria
Description: partial 16S ribosomal RNA
Rfam family: Bacterial small subunit ribosomal RNA
Source: RNAcentral